UUAUUAUAAAUAAAAGAUAUUGUUCAUAAAAAUAUGAACAUGAAUCUUUCUUUUAUCUUGUCUAGCUUAGAAGAAGUAAUAAAAUGAUUAAGUGUCUUAGUUAAAAAAUUGUAAUAUAGAUCUGUCAUUAAUGUUAUUGCUUAUUUGCUAUGAAUUUUAUGUACUUAAGAUAGAAUUUUCAAUGUUAUCAAUUUCCAAGAAGUCAUUAAAUCCAUAUGUGAGUUUCCCAGCCAUUAAAUCCAUAUGUGUAACCUUCAUUGAUCAUGUACACUGGUGCAUACGAUAAGUUGUAUGAUAAUAAAGGUUGUGACCCACGCACGCACUUAUCUAUGCACACAGUAGGUAGAGAAGAUCACUGGAUUAAGAAGGAAGAGAUAAGAAUUAUUAUUAGGUUGCAUUAGGCUAAGUUCGAAUAACAUAUGUAGCUCUUAAGGACAAUAUUUUUUUUAAAUAAAAUUAGUACUCAACCAACAUCCAAGCCGGCAACAUCUUUUAUUAAUACGCGCGUAAACAGUGGUCCUUCGAAAGAGAAAAAAGAAUCAGUGACCGGAAAAGUGUGCACAUCAAAAAAAAAAAUCUAAUUUAAGAAAGAAUUCUAUUUGAAAAAAUAAUUGUGAAAGUCACAUUGAAAAGAAUAUUAUCCAAAAAAAAAAAGAAUAUAUAAUUUAAGAAUGAAUUCUAUUUGAAAAAAAUAAUUGUGAAAGUUACAGUGAAAAGAAUAUUAUACAAAAAAAACAGAGAAAAUAGUGAAGAAUUAAGAAACAAGGCUAUUAUCCAAUAGAAAAAAAAUAUUAUAGUGAAAAAAAAAUCAUAAAAUUAAAAAGCCAAAGAGGCUAAGAAAUUAGAAUAUAGCGGAAAAUUGGAAACAGAAGAGAUUUAAUCAAUAAAGGGUGUUACAUUGUGUACGUGAUGAAGCGAACCAUCCAAUAGCCCACAUAACAAGACUGCUCUAUCUCCAUAAUGGAUCUGCUGUUAAAAGUCAAACAAGUUGCGAAUCGGGAAUCCUUUAGACCCCAUAAAGUAUAUCCAACCAUGAUCAAAGUUGAUUCAAUGAUGUCUAGCUGUCUGUCUACCGAAGUCACAAUAUUGAGAUGGGACGGGACGUUUCAACAAGGCAUUAAAUUGUGCACGUGAUAAAGCCAUUCAAUAGCCUACAAAACUAGACUGCUCUAUCUCUAUAAUGGAUCUGCUGUUAAAAAUUAAACAAGCUGCAAAGCGUUAAUCCUUUAGGUAAGAUUAAUAGGUUUGUUAUGUUCCAUCUAUAAAAAUAAAAGUUUCUAUUGAUUUGAAAAAGUUUCACUUCGGUCGCAAAUGGUUUCACUUCAAAUGCAAAUAGUUUCAUUUCCACUGCAAAAUGUUUCAUUUCUAUUGCAAAAAAUUUCAUUUCAUUGAAAUUAAACUUUUUGCAACAGAUAUGAAUUCUUUUGCAGUGGAAAUGAAAAUAAAGCCUGUUUGAUUUCAAACUUAAUUUUCAUUGAAUUGCGUUAUUACAUAUUUGUAACACGGGUGAAUUUUCUCCUUUUUGGUAAUGUCUACUACCUCCUAAUACGACUUUGCACUUCGUACAUAAUGUCAAAGGUAAUGACAUUUCCUAAGGAGUGACGUCUUGUAAUAUUCUACCGACUCUACUAGUACUAACAUGCAUAGGAUUACGUCCUACAACCAAAAACCCUUUGAACAGUCCACUGCUCAGAGGGAAAAAAUAUUACUUGAUUGUGUUUUUAUUUUUUUCCAUUUCUUUUAUUUUCUUUUUGCUCCGCAAACAUUGGUCCUUCGAGCCGGAUUUGCGAUCUGUCUUCUUCCUUCACGAGGAAAAACAAUAGAGAAACGACUGUUUCACAACAAAACCUUGGAUUCUACGACCCGUCUCUUUGCUCACUGAGGAUACAACGACAACGUCGUCAACAACAACGGGAUUAUCGAUCACCACCAUCACAUCUAAUUAAUUAUUUUACAUUUUAAUUAGCCGCGACAACAGAGGAUUUUGCGAUCUGUCUUCUUCCUUCACGAGGAAAACCAAUAGAGAAACGACUGUUUCACAACAAAGCUUUGGAUUCUACGACACGUCUCUUUGCUCACUGAGGAUACAACGACAACGUCGUCAACAACAACGGGAUUAUCGAUCACCACCAUCACAUCUAAUUAAUUAUUUUACAUUUUAAUUAGCCGCGACAACAGAGGCAUGUAUACUGUGUAUUACGUUUAAAGUGACAUACAAAACAUAGUUAUUGUUGUGUUAAUUAAACAAAACAAAGCCUUGGGUCGUUUUCAACAAGUUUUUUUGUCCGUCCGUCUCCUAUGUAAACCUUUUGCAAAUCAAAUGAAACAAUUUUAUUUAUAAAAAGACACAUAACAAUACAUUUCUAUUUUAGUAGGUAUUAAAUUAAAUCAACUAAUCAUUAAUAAUAUAUAGUUAAAGAGGAAUUGUUAUAGAUUAUUAACAUCCAUAUUUUCGUAAUAUUCUUUCUUAAAUUUUCAAUUAAUGUAAUAGUAAAUUGCUCUUUAUUGAUUUGAUAUAAAAUAUUUCUAUAUUAAUAUGCCAAAUAUUUAACACCAAAAAGUGAAAUUGGAACAAAUUUUGGCAUUUAUUAAUAUAAAUUGUGGGAGCAGGACUGAAGUACGAAAUGAAGAUUUACUAUAAUGUUCAAUAGUUAAAGUACCAAUGGGGCAUAUUUAAUGUGUCAUUUCGUGUGUAACACCUCUAAGUAUUCGUCGUAGACCCCUUAAAGUAUAUCCAACCAUGAUCAAAGUUGAUUCAAUGAUGUCACAAUAUUGAGAUGGGACGGGACGUUUCAACAAGGCAUUAAAUUGUGCACGUGAUAAAGCCAUUCAAUAGCCUACAAAACUAGACUGCUCUAUCUCUAUAAUGGAUCUGCUGUUAAAAAUUAAACAAGCUGCAAAGCGUUAAUCCUUUAGGUAAGAUUAAUAGUUUUGUUAUGUUCCAUCUAUAAAAAUAAAAGUUUCAUUUGAUUUGAAGAAGUUUCACUUCGGUCGCAAAAGGUUUCACUUCAAAUGCAAAUAGUUUCAUUUCCACUGCAAAAUGUUUCAUUUCAAUUGCAAAAAUUUUCAUUUCAUUGAAAUAAAAACUUUUUGCAACAGAAAUGAAUUCUUUUGCAGUGGAAAUGAAAAUAAAGCCUGUUUAAUUUCAAACUUAAUUUUCAUUGAAUUGCGUUAUUACAUAUUUGUCACACGGGUGAAUUUUUUCCUCCUUAGGUAAUGUCUACUACCUCUUAAUACGACUUUGUACUUCGUACAUAAUGUCACAGGUAAUGACAUUUCCUAAGGAUUGACGUCUUGUGAUUAUCGCCAUUACAGUAUUCUACCGACUGUACAAGUACUAACAUACAUAGGAUUACGUCCUACUUCCAAAAACCCUUUGAACAGUCCACUGCUCAGAGGGAAAAAAUAUUACUUGAUUGUGUUUUUAUUUUUUUCCAUUUCUUUUAUUUUCUUUUUGCUCCGCAAACAUUGGUCCUUCGAGCCGGAUUUGCGAUCUGUCUUCUUCCUUCACGAGGAAACACAAUAGAGAAACGACUGUUUCACAGCAAAACUUUGGAUUCUACGAUCCGUCUCUUUGCUCACUGAGGAUACAACGACUACGUCGUCAACAACAACGGGAUUAUCGAUCACCACCAUCACAUCUAAUUAAUUAUUUUACAUUUUAAUUAGCCGCCACAACAGAGGAUUUUGCUAUCUGUCUUCUUCCUUCACGAGGAAAAACAAUAGAGAAACGACUGUUUCACAACAAAACUUUGGAUUCUACGACCCGUCUCUUUGCUCACUGAGGAUACAACGACAACGUCGUCAACAUCAACGGGAUUAUCGAUCACCACCAUCACAUCUAAUUAUUUAUUUUACAUUUUAAUUAGCCGCGACAACAGAGGAUUUUGCGAUCUGUCUUCUUCCUUCACGAGGAAAAACAAUAGAGAAACGACUGUUUCACAACAAAACUUUGGAUUCUACGACACGUCUCUUUGCUCACUGAGAAUACAACGACAACGUCGUCAACAACAACGGGAUUAUCGAUCGCCACCAUCACAUCUAAUUAAUUAUUUUACAUUUUAAUUAGCCGCGACAACAGAGAUGAACGACUGUUUCACAGCAAAACUUUGGAUUCUACGAUCCGUCUCUUUGCUCACUGAGGAUACAACGACAACGUCGUCAACAACAACGGGAUUAUCGAUCACCACCAUCACAUCUAAUUAAUUAUUUUACAUUUUAAUUAGCCGCCACAACAGAGGUAUGUAUACUGUGAAUUACGUUUAAAGUGACAUACAAAACAUAGUUAUUGUUGUGUUAAUAAAACAAAACAAAGCCUUGGGUCGUUUUCAACAAGUGUUUAUUCCGUCCGUCUCCUAUGGGAUUGCCGUCGGCAUUUAUCGCAACAACAAAAUAGUGUCAAAGUGAUUUUUGUUUCCAACAAAAUACACUCACGACCACAAUCACAGAAUUGCAUACUUUCUCAUUGCCUAUUUAUAUUUUCUCGUUGCGCUUUUUGUGUUUUACAUCUUCAUGUAAGUAGUAAAACAUAAUAACAAUAACAGAAAAGAAUAUUUGUUGUCAUCGCCGCUGAUUGUUGGUUCCGCUUUGUAUACAUAUUCGUGUAAAUUACAAUAGUGACACUCACUGUUAAAUGAUAGACAAUCACAUACAAUAGGUGUGUUCACGACCAUUUAUCAAAAUUUUAUUUAUUGAAAAAUUGAAAGUGCCAACUUCAAUUAAAUUUUUUGUUGUUUCUAUUGGAUAUCAACUACUGUUAAUGAAUUUCGCAGUCUCCGACGUUAUCACCCUACAUUCGGUAUACACAUACAUAUAUGUGCGUGGUAAUAUUUUAUUAAAUAACGUUUAAUACUAAUAUUGCUAUUUAUUUCUGCGAACUCUUUCUAGAAAACUGUUUUGUUUCUUGUUUCUUGUUUUACGCUGAACGACUUACGAUUUGUGCACCCUACAAUCGGCUUUAUUGAUUUAUCAUAUUUUUGGGUUUUUCGACUCUAUUACAAUUGUUGUUUGAAAAAUUUUGUCGGCAAGUGUUACUUACGAUACAUUGUACAUAACUUUCAGAAAGUUUGAACAAUUUCUUCAUUUAUAUUUUUUUCUUGUGGUUUAAUCACGUUUAAUCUCAACUGACACUGCGAGGAGUCCAUGACUAUCUGCAAUCAGUGUAUUUUCAUUAAAUAAACAUUGAUUUCAUUGACAUUACGUGUCUUAUUAAAAAUAUUUCAAGCAUUUUCGUGCAAAUUUCAUUACAAUUUCACUAAUUUCUUAUUUCAUUUUCGGGGCAGUUCUAAAUUCUUCGACUGCAUUUGUUUUCCAAACAAGGCAUUACGUGUCAUAAAAAACAUUAUUAACUUGUUUUGCUUCCGAUUUGCAUUUAAAAUGCCACUCACUCCUUUGGAUUUAUUCAUCCGAGCUACUAAAAAUGUUCUAGCGUCCAUUAAUAGAAAGUUAGGUGUGCUACGGGCUCCGCCUAAGUCACGAACUGUAAUUUCACCAAAAUCUCAUAUAGGUAACACUUCAAUACCUCGUUCCGAGGAGAGAGCGACAGAAUCGAAUGUUCCGCAGCGAUCCGAAACUUCUGUAAAACUUUAUAGUAAUGCUUAAAUUUACAUUUCAGUCCUGCCCAUACAAUUUAGUAAUAAAGGCCAACAUUUGUUUCAAUUUCUCUUUUUAACGUUAAGUAUUAAGAAUAUAUAAUAUGGAAAUAUUUUAUAUCAAAUCAAUAAAGGGCAAUUUGUAAUUACAAUAAUUGAAAAUUUCAGAAAUAAUAAAAACUAUAGAUUUUUAUUAUCAAUAAAAAUUCCUCAUUAACUCUAUAUUAGUUAUAAUUACUUGAUUUAAUCUAGAACCUACUAAAAAUAAAAAAGGUUUGUUAUAUUUCUUUCUAUAAAUCUAAAAGUUUCAUUUGAUUUGCAAAAAGUUUCAUUUCGGUUACAAACGGUUUCACAUAAAAUGCAAAAGGUUUCAUUUCCGUUGCAAAAGGUAAUGAAACCUUUUGCAAAUCAAAUGAAACAAUUAUAUUUAUAGAAAGAAACAUAACAAUACAUUUCUAUUUUUAGUAGGUAUUAAAUUAAAUCAACUAAUCAUUAAUAAUAUAUAGUUAAAGAGGAAUUGUUAUAGAUUAUUAACAUCUAUAUUUUCGUAAUAUUAUUUCUUAAAUUUUCAAUUAAUGUAAUAGUAAAUUGCUCUUUAUUGAUUUGAUAUAAAAUAUUUCUAUAUUAAUAUGCCAAAUACUUAACACCAAAAAGUGAAAUUGAAAAAAAUUUUGGCCUUUAUUACUAUAAAUUGUGUGAGCAGGACUGAAGUACGAAAUGAAGAUUUACUAUAAUGUUCAAUAGUUAAAGUACCACCCUGGAAAGGGGGCAUUUCGUAUGUAACACCUCUAAGUAUUCGUCGUAGACCCCAUAAAGUAUAUCCAACCAUGAUCAAAGUUGAUUCAAUGAUGUCUAGCUGUCUGUCUAUUGAAGUCACAAUAUUGAGAUGGGACGGGACGUUUCAACAAGGCAUUAAAUUGUGCACGUGAUAAAGCCAUUCAAUAGCCUACAAAACUAGACUGCUCUAUCUCUAUAAUGGAUCUGCUGUUAAAAAUUAAACAAGCUGCAAAGCGUUAAUCCUUUAGGUAAGAUUAAUAGGUUUGUUAUGUUCCAUCUAUAAAAAUAAAAGUUUCUAUUGAUUUACAAAAGUUUCACUUCGGUCGCAAAUGGUUUCACUUCAAAUGCAAAUAGUUUCAUUUCCACUGCAAAAUGUUUCAUUUCAAUUGCAAAAAUUUUCAUUUCAUUGAAAUGAAACUAUUUGCAACAGAUAUGAAUUCUUUUGCAGUGGAAAUGAAAAUAAAGCCUGUUUGAUUUCAAACUUAAUUUUCAUUGAAUUGCGUUAUUACAUAUUUGUAACACGGGUGAAUUUUCUCCUUUUUGGUAAUGUCUACUACCUCCUAAUACGACUUUGUACUUCGUACAUAAUGUCAAAGGUAAUGACAUUUCCUAAGGUGUGACGUCUUGUAAUAUUCUACCGACUCUACUAGUACUAACAUGCAUAGGAUUACGUCCUACUACCAAAAACCCUUUGAACAGUCCACUGCUCAGAGGGAAAAAAUAUUACAUGAUUGUGUUUUUAUUUUUUUCCAUUUCUUUUAUUUUCUUUUUGCUCCGCAAACAUUGGUCCUUCGAGCCGGAUUUGCGAUCUGUCUUCUUCCUUCACGAGGAAAAACAAUAGAGAAACGACUGUUUCACAGCAAAACUUUGGAUUCUACGAUCCGUCUCUUUGCUCACUGAGGAUACAACGACUACGUCGUCAACAACAACGGGAUUAUCGAUCACCACCAUCACAUCUAAUUAAUUAUUUUACAUUUUAAUUAGCCGCCACAACAGAGCCGGAUUUUGCGAUCUGCCUUCUUCCUUCACGAGGAAAAACAAUAGAUAAACGACUGUUUCACAGCAAAACUUUGGAUUCUACGAUCCGUCUCUUUGCUCACUGAGGAUACAACGACAACGUCGUCAACAACAACGGGAUUAUCGAUCACCACCAUCACAUCGAAUUAAUUAUUUUACAUUUUAAUUAGCCGCCACAACAGAGAAAUAUGGUUUGCCCAAGUCGAGGCUCAAUUUGGCAUUGCUAUCAUAAACAGCGAAUUGUCCAAAUUCAACACAGUCGUUGCAGCUGUUGAAAGUGGAGAUUAAAGAGCACGGACGGACGGUCCGCAAGUAAGCCUACUAGUGAUUUCCCACAACAGUGUUGGUAUAAUAGGAUAUUUGGUAACGACGCUCAAAAAUGUCGGCCCCGUGUUCUUAUACAACAAAACAUUCAUAAAACUAAUUAAUUUUUGCAAAUCGCUCACCUCGUCAUUUGUGACCACAAUACCAGCAUCAUGUUUCUAAUAGACACCGGCGCAGACGUGUCAGUAAUUCUACCCUCUUCAGCCGACAAGGGCAAAAAACACCUGUCUACGAACUUCUAUUCUGCAAACGUAUAGCGUAUGUCACUUGGUUUGCGCAGGAGUUUCGUGUGGAAUUUUUAUCUUGCCGAAAUCAAAAUCCUUCAAGCAGUUCUUGAGUUAUAAGUGUAGUAACUAACAAAAAAUAUGGUAAAAAAUUUAUUUAUUUUGUAUAUUCUUAGUAUAGUUCGACUUACCACAUAAAUAAAUAUAAUCUAUAAAUAACAGUUUUGUCCUUUGUCGCUUUAUACCACAAAACAAAAAAAAUCACAUCAUAUUAGCAUUCAAAAAAACACUACGAAUAUACAUUUGAAAAUAGUAAGUCAAAAUGAACAAAAAUUAUACAAAAUAAAACAUUACUAUUGUACAUUUCAAAACUCAAAAUGCAAAACUUAGAAUCUUUCAUUUUUAAGCGAUGAAAUGUGACAUUAAGCAUUGCUAUAAAGUCUUAGAGUUAUACAUAUUAUUAAUCUCACCUAAAGGAUUCCCGAUUCGCAACUUGUUUGAUAUCCAUUUAGAUCCAUUAUGGAGAUAGAGCAGUCUUGUUAUGUGGGCUAAUGGAUGGGUCGCUUUAUCACGUACGCAAUGUAACACCCUGUUGAAACAUCCCGUUAUCAUUUUCAAUACCAAACAUCCUAGACACAAUGCAAUAUUGUGCCAAAUUUCAAAUCUCUACAUCAAAUUUCAUAUCAAUAUCGUAAAUACAACAGGCAGACAGCUGGACACCAUUAAAUCAACUUAGAUCAUGAUUGUAUAUACCUUUUGGGAUCUAUUAUGAAUAUUUAGAAGUGUUAAAAUGGAAUGACAAAUUUAAUAUACCCGCCUUUCCAUGGAGGAGGUUAUAAAAAGGUAUUAAAUUCGGGUCUUUUGGAGAAAAAAACCUUGCAAAAACGUUCUUAUAAUUUUUCCGAAUCUUAACUUGCGUUUUAUGGCAUCGUGUGAUACACUGCAAAUUUAGGAAAAAUUAUUAUAAAAGAUAUAGAUGUUAGUAAUCAAUUAAAAUUCCUCUUUAACUAUAGCAUUUUCAGAUUAAAUGAAACCUUUUGCAGUGGAAAUGAACCAUUUUACAGGGGAUUUGAAACUUCUUGCAACAAAAGUGAAACUUUUUGCAAUUAUAUGAUUGAUUUCCACUGCAAGAAGUUUCAUUUCCACUGCAAAAGGAUUCAUUUCCGCUGCAAAAAGUUUAAUUUGAAUUGCAAAAGGUUUCAUUUAAUCUGAAAUGUUUCAUUUGAUUUGCAAAAAGUUUCAUUUUGGUUGCAAGAGGUUUCAUUUCCCCUGCAAAAUGGUUCAUUUCCACUGCAAAAAGUUUCAUUUCCACUGCAAAAGGUUUCAUUUAAUCUGAAAAUGCUAUAGUUAAAGAGGAAUUUUAAUUGAUUACUAACAUCUAUAUCUUUUAUAAUAAUUUUUCCUAAAUUUGCAGUGUAUCACACGAUGUCAUAAAACGCAAGUGUAGAUUCGGAAAAAUUAUAAGAACGUUUUUGCAAGGUUUUUUCUCCAAAAGACCCGAAUUUAAUACCUUUUUAUAACCUCCUCCAUGGAAAGGCGGGUAUAUUAAAUUUGUCAUUCCAUUUGUAACACCUCUAAAUAUUCAUCAUAGAUCCCAAAAGGUAUAUACAAUCAUGAUCUAAGUUGAUUUAAUGGUGUCCAGCUGUCUGCCUGUUGUAUUUACGAUAUUGAUAUGAAAUUUGAUGAAGAGAUUUGAAAUUUGGCACAAUAUUGUAUUGUGUCUAGGAUGUUUGGUAUUGAAAAUGAUACCGGGAUGUUUUAACAGGGUGUUACAUUGUGUACGUGAUAAAGCGAACCAUCCAUUAGCCCACAUAACAAGACUGCUCUAUCUCCAUAAUGGAUCUAGAUGGAUAUCAAACAAGUUGCGAAUCGGGAAUCCUUUAGUCCUGCCCAUACAAUCUAUAUAUGUAAAGGAAAGUUGUGUUAGUUACUACGCUUAUAUCCAAGAACAGCAGGUCUGAUUUUAACGAAUUGUCUCUUGAAAAUCGCUUAAAAAUGAAAGAUUCUAAGUUUUGCAUUUUGACUUUUGAAAUGUACAAUAGUAAUGUUUUAUUUUGUAUAAUUUUUGUUCAUUUUGACUUACUAUUUUCAAAUGUAUAUUCGUAGUGUUUUUUGUGAAUGCUAAUAUGAUGUGUAUUUUUUUGUGGUAUAAAGCGACAAAGACAAAACUGUUAUUUAUAGAUUUUAUUUAUUUAUGUGGUAAGUCGAACUAUACUAAGAAUAUGCAAAAUAAAUAUUUUUUUUACCAUAUUUUUUGUUAGUUACUA
Molecule: long non-coding RNA, 10200 nt
Organism: Musca domestica (house fly)
Lineage: Eukaryota; Metazoa; Arthropoda; Insecta; Diptera; Muscidae
Exons: 10
Source: RefSeq, a predicted model, not a curated record